CCUACGGGAGGCAGCAGUGGGGAAUAUUGGGCAAUGGGCGCAAGCCUGACCCAGCAACGCCGCGUGAAGGAAGAAGGCUUUCGGGUUGUAAACUUCUUUUCUGAGGGACGAAGAAAGUGACGGUACCUCAGGAAUAAGCCACGGCUAACUACGUGCCAGCAGCCGCGGUAAUACGUAGGUGGCAAGCGUUAUCCGGAUUUAUUGGGUGUAAGGGCGUGUAGGCGGGAAAGGAAGUCAGAUGUGAAAACGCAGGGCUGAACCCUGAGCCUGCAGGUGAAACUGGGUUUCGUGAGUGCUGGAGAGGCAAUCGGAAUUCCGUGUGGAGCGGUGAAAUGAAGAGAUAGACGGAGGAACACCAGUGGCGAAGGCGGAUUGCAGGACAGUAACUGACGCUGAGGCGCGAAGGCGUGGGGAGCAAACAGGAUUAGAUACCCCAGUAGUC
This 442-nucleotide ribosomal RNA is filed under the name uncultured bacterium. Its description in RNAcentral is "partial 16S ribosomal RNA". It matches the Rfam family "Bacterial small subunit ribosomal RNA", at positions 338 to 795 of the family's 1533-position model. The record is from RNAcentral.